UACGUAGGGUGCAAGCGUUAAUCGGAAUUACUGGGCGUAAAGCGUGCGCAGGCGGUUUUGUAAGUCAGAUGUGAAAUCCCCGGGCUUAACCUGGGAACUGCGUUUGAAACUACAAGGCUAGAGUGUGGCAGAGGGGGGUGGAAUUCCACGUGUAGCAGUGAAAUGCGUAGAUAUGAUGGAGGAAUACCGAUGGCGAAGGCAGCCCCCUGGGCAGAGUACUGACCUGCUGAGGUGCGGAAAGCGAUGGGGAGCAAACGGG
RNAcentral lists this ribosomal RNA (259 nucleotides) under uncultured bacterium. Its description in RNAcentral is "partial 16S ribosomal RNA". It matches the Rfam family "Bacterial small subunit ribosomal RNA", at positions 524 to 776 of the family's 1533-position model. The record is from RNAcentral.